GGGCCUCUAGCUCAUGCUUAGGUUAGAGCAGCGGACUCAUAAUCCGUUGGUGCCGAGUUCGACUCUCGGGGGGCCCACCA
This 80-nucleotide transfer RNA is filed under the name Chromobacterium piscinae. Its description in RNAcentral is "tRNA-Met". It matches the Rfam family "tRNA". From Rfam's summary of the family: Transfer RNA (tRNA) molecules are approximately 80 nucleotides in length. Their secondary structure includes four short double-helical elements and three loops (D, anti-codon, and T loops). RNAcentral also lists the same sequence under 1 other name. The record is from RNAcentral. Lineage: Bacteria; Pseudomonadati; Pseudomonadota; Betaproteobacteria; Neisseriales; Chromobacteriaceae.